RNAcentral lists this transfer RNA (88 nucleotides) under Fidelibacterota bacterium. Its description in RNAcentral is "Candidatus Marinimicrobia bacterium tRNA-Leu". It matches the Rfam family "tRNA". Rfam says of the family: Transfer RNA (tRNA) molecules are approximately 80 nucleotides in length. The record is from RNAcentral. Lineage: Bacteria; Pseudomonadati; Fidelibacterota.
GCCGAAGUGGUGGAAUCUGGUAGACACGCUAUCUUGAGGGGGUAGUGUUCGAAAGGACGUGCGGGUUCAAGUCCCGCCUUCGGCACAA